RNAcentral lists this ribosomal RNA (407 nucleotides) under uncultured bacterium. RNAcentral describes it as "partial 16S ribosomal RNA". It matches the Rfam family "Bacterial small subunit ribosomal RNA", at positions 28 to 526 of the family's 1533-position model. The record is from RNAcentral.
GACGAACGCUGGCGGCGUGCCUAAUACAUGCAAGUAGGACGCAGUUGCGAACGGGUGAGUAACGCGUAGGUAACUGCCUAUGAGUGGGGGAUAAAUAUUGGAAACGAUAGCUAAUACCGCAUACUAGUAGAUGGACCUGCUUUGUAUUAGCUAGUAGGUAGGGUAAUGGCCUACCUAGGCGACGAUACAUAGCCGACUUGGGAGGGUGAUCGGCCAAACUGGGACCGAGACACGGCCCCGACUCCGACGGGGGGCAGGAGUAGGGAAGCUUCGGCAAUGGGGGGAACGCUGAACGAGGAACGGCGCGGGAGUGAAGAAGGUUGUCGGAUCGUAAAGCUCUGUUGUUAAGGGAGCGGUACUUAACCAGAAAGGGACGGCUAACUACGUGCCAGCAGCCGCGGUAAUAC